GGUAACAACUUUUUUUCUCUCAUUACUCACUUCUGUUGGGGUGGGUAACAAUUGUUUUCUUUCAUUAAUUACUUCUUGUGGGUGGAUGAAAUCAUAAAAGUUCUAAAGGCCUCCCCCAUUCUCUCACUCGAGGCAUGAAGAAGCCCUUUUCUGAAGUUGCCCUCCAGAUGAGAGAAUCCCUAAAAGGGCCCUAUUUUCCUCUUCCACUCUCAAUCCUCGCAGAAAAAAAAAAAAAAAAAAGUUAUGCUCGUUGGAUCAGAGGAAUAUUGCCCUUCUCCAAUGGGCGGGCUGAUAGUGAUGAUGCCACGAUCUCAACUACUUUUUAAAGCUGAUGUCUGACUAUGUGGAAGACAAACCCACUGCAGAGAGAGGAGAAAGAACUAUUAACUAUUUGUUUUUUGGUUUUGUAUUGUGAUGGAUGUGAAAGACAAGGGCCAUCCCCCUAAUCCUAGGACAAGGGAGUCUACUAAACCAACAUCACUAUUGAGAGGUGGGAUUGAUGUUGUUUGAUUGCAACGGUUACUCCCUAUGGAGGUUUAAUUCGCAGUGAUGGUCUGUUAUUAUCUAACAUGAUUUUAUCAUUUUUAUUUUUUUAAUUUAAGUUGAAUCAUUCUUAUUUUAAGACAUCUAGUUAAGAAAUUUAUGUUAAUUUUAGCGGAGAAUACAAGGAUGUGAUUAAUAGAAAGGAGAUUGCAGUCACAAAUUUAGAAGCUAGGUUUGUUAACUACGACACAAACUUGGUUUUCAGAUCUGUGAUUGCAAUCUCCACUCCAUCAAUCACAUCCCCGUAUUCUUCCAAACAAGAUUAACAUGAAUCUCAUAUUUAAAAAAAAAAAUCAUAGAUUCAACUCAAAUUAAAAAGGAUAAAUAUGAUAAAAUUAUGUUUGUUAUAAGUAUAACAUUAUUGCGAGACAUCCACCAUUGAAUGAAUACUCCAUGAGGAGUAGUCCAUUGAAAUCAUAUAGCAUCAAUCCCACCUUUUUAUAGUGAUGUUGACUCAGUGGACUCCCAUGUCUUAGGAUUAGUAAAGUCCUAAAAGUCUUUCCUAUAUAUAUCAAAUGUUAUUCCCAUUUUGACAUUUUAUUCCAGAGUUUUAGCUCUGAUUGGUAAAGGAUCAAAGAAAAUUUCUAGUUA
This is a long non-coding RNA of Vitis vinifera (wine grape), 1134 nucleotides long. RefSeq lists it as uncharacterized. The record is from RefSeq and is a predicted model, not a curated record. NCBI's taxonomy places the organism in Eukaryota, Viridiplantae, Streptophyta, Magnoliopsida, Vitales, Vitaceae. The transcript has 3 exons.